GACUCGGUUGGGCGGUCCGCUUAACGGCGUGUACUGUCUGACUGGGCCUUACCUCUUGGUGAGCCAGUGUGCCCUUUAUUGGUGUGCAUUGGGGAACCAGGACUUUUACUUUGAAAAAAUUAGAGUGUUUAAAGCAGGCUAACGUCUGAAUACAUUAGCAUGGAAUAAUGAAAUAGGACU
RNAcentral lists this ribosomal RNA (180 nucleotides) under uncultured Glomeromycotina. RNAcentral's name for it is "partial small subunit ribosomal RNA". The stretch from base 88 to 180 matches the Rfam family "Eukaryotic small subunit ribosomal RNA", at positions 734 to 829 of the family's 1831-position model. Lineage: Eukaryota; Fungi; Glomeromycota. The record is from RNAcentral.